This 815-nucleotide ribosomal RNA is filed under the name uncultured Terriglobales bacterium. Its description in RNAcentral is "bacterial SSU rRNA". It matches the Rfam family "Bacterial small subunit ribosomal RNA", at positions 58 to 904 of the family's 1533-position model. The record is from RNAcentral. Lineage: Bacteria; Pseudomonadati; Acidobacteriota; Terriglobia; Terriglobales.
CAAGUCGCACGAGAAAGGGUAGCAAUACCUGAGUACAGUGGCGCACGGGUGAGUAACACGUGAAUUAUCUACCUUCGAGUGGGGAAUAACUGGGAGAAAUCUCAGCUAAUACCGCAUAACACUUACGAGUCAAAGCAGCAAUGCGCUUGAAGAGGAGUUCGCGGCAGAUUAGUUAGUUGGCGGGGUAAUGGCCCACCAAGACGAUGAUCUGUAUCCGGCCUGAGAGGGCGCACGGACACACUGGAACUGAAACACGGUCCAGACUCCUACGGGAGGCAGCAGUGGGGAAUUUUGCGCAAUGGGGGAAACCCUGACGCAGCAACGCCGCGUGGAGGAUGAAAUCCCUUGGGAUGUAAACUCCUUUCGAUCGGGACGAUUAUGACGGUACCGGAAGAAGAAGCCCCGGCUAACUUCGUGCCAGCAGCCGCGGUAAUACGAGGGGGGCAAGCGUUGUUCGGAAUUAUUGGGCGUAAAGGGCGCGUAGGCGGUUUGACAAGUCUGAUGUGAAAUCUCUGGGCUCAACCCAGAGUCUGCAUUAGAAACUGUCGGGCUUGAGUAUGGGAGAGGUGAGUGGAAUUUCCGGUGUAGCGGUGAAAUGCGUAGAUAUCGGAAGGAACACCUGUGGCGAAAGCGGCUCACUGGACCAUAACUGACGCUGAGGCGCGAAAGCUAGGGGAGCAAACAGGAUUAGAUACCCUGGUAGUCCUACCCCUAAACGAUGAUUGCUUGGUGUGACAGGUACCCAAUCCUGUCGUGCCGAAGCUAACGCGAUAAGCAAUCCGCCUGGGGAGUACGGUCGCAAGGCUGAAACUCAA